CCUACGGGUGGCAGCAGUGAGGAAUAUUGGUCAAUGGACGCAAGUCUGAACCAGCCAUGCCGCGUGCAGGAAGACGGCCCUAUGAGUUGUAAACUGCUUUUGUACGAGGGUAAACGCAGAUACGUGUAUCUGUCUGAAAGUAUCGUACGAAUAAGGAUCGGCUAACUCCGUGCCAGCAGCCGCGGUAAUACGGAGGAUUCAAGCGUUAUCCGGAUUUAUUGGGUUUAAAGGGUGCGUAGGCGGUCGGUUAAGUUAGUUGUGAAAGCCCGCGGCUCAACGGUGGAAUUGCAUUUGAUACUGGUAGGCUUGAGAGUAGUUGCGGUAGGCGGAAUGCAUGGUGUAGCGGUGAAAUGCUUAGAGAUCAUGCAGAACACCGAUUGCGAAGGCAGCUUACCAAACUGCUACUGACAUUGAGGCACGAAAGCGUGGGGAGCAAACAGGAUUAGAUACCCUAGUAGUC
This 460-nucleotide ribosomal RNA is filed under the name uncultured bacterium. RNAcentral describes it as "partial 16S ribosomal RNA". It matches the Rfam family "Bacterial small subunit ribosomal RNA", at positions 338 to 795 of the family's 1533-position model. The record is from RNAcentral.